This 480-nucleotide ribosomal RNA is filed under the name uncultured soil bacterium. Its description in RNAcentral is "bacterial SSU rRNA". It matches the Rfam family "Bacterial small subunit ribosomal RNA", at positions 26 to 506 of the family's 1533-position model. The record is from RNAcentral.
AGAUUGAACGCUGGCGGCAGGCCUAACACAUGCAAGUCGAGCGGUAGAGAGGUGCUUGCACCUCUUGAGAGCGGCGGACGGGUGAGUAAUGCCUAGGAAUCUGCCUGGUAGUGGGGGAUAACGUUCGGAAACGGACGCUAAUACCGCAUACGUCCUACGGGAGAAAGCAGGGGACCUUCGGGCCUUGCGCUAUCAGAUGAGCCUAGGUCGGAUUAGCUAGUUGGUGGGUAAUGGCUCACCAAGGCGACGAUCCGUAACUGGUCUGAGAGGAUGAUCAGUCACACUGGAACUGAGACACGGUCCAGACUCUACGGGAGGCAGCAGUGGGAAUAUUGGACAAUGGGCGAAAGCCUGAUCCAGCCAUGCCGCGUGUGUGAAGAAGGUCUUCGGAUUGUAAAGCACUUUAAGUUGGAGGAAGGCAGUUACCUAAUACGUGAUUGUCUUGACGUUACCGACAGAAUAAGCACGGCUAACGUCUGU